GACGAACGCUGGCGGCGUGCCUAAUACAUGCAAGUAGAACGCUGAAGGAGGAGCUUGCUUCUCUGGAUGAGUUGCGAACGGGUGAGUAACGCGUAGGUAACCUGCCUGGUAGCGGGGGAUAACUAUUGGAAACGAUAGCUAAUACCGCAUAAUAGCAGUUGUUGCAUGACAACUGUUUGAAAGGUGCAAUUGCACCACUACCAGAUGGACCUGCGUUGUAUUAGCUAGUUGGUGGGGUAACGGCUCACCAAGGCGACGAUACAUAGCCGACCUGAGAGGGUGAUCGGCCACACUGGGACGGAGACACGGCCCAGACUCCUACGGGAGGCAGCAGUAGGGAAUCUUCGGCAAUGGACGGAAGUCUGACCGAGCAACGCCGCGUGAGUGAAGAAGGUUUUCGGAUCGUAAAGCUCUGUUGUAAGAGAAGAACGAGUGUGAGAGUGGAAAGUUCACACUGUGACGGUAUCUUACCAGGAAGGGACGGCUAACUACGUG
This 495-nucleotide ribosomal RNA is filed under the name uncultured bacterium. RNAcentral's name for it is "partial 16S ribosomal RNA". It matches the Rfam family "Bacterial small subunit ribosomal RNA", at positions 28 to 507 of the family's 1533-position model. The record is from RNAcentral.